AUUGAACGCUGGCGGCAUGCCUUACACAUGCAAGUCGAACGGUAACAGGUCUUCGGAUGCUGACGAGUGGCGAACAGGUGAGUAAUACAUCGGAACGUGCCCGAGAGUGGGGGAUAACGGAGCGAAAGCUUUGCUAAUACCGCAUACGAUCUACGGAUGAAAGCAGGGGACCGCAAGGCCUUGCGCUCAUGGAGCGGCCGAUGGCAGAUUAGGUAGUUGGUGGGAUAAAAGCUUACCAAGCCGACGAUCUGUAGCUGGUCUGAGAGGACGACCAGCCACACUGGGACUGAGACACGGUCCAGACUCCUACGGGAGGCAGCAGUGGGGAAUUUUGGACAAUGGGCGCAAGCCUGAUCCAGCAAUGCCGCGUGCAGGAAGAAGGCCUUCGGGUUGUAAACUGCUUUUGUACGGAACGAAAAGGUCUGGGUUAAUACCCUGGGCUCAUG
This 446-nucleotide ribosomal RNA is filed under the name uncultured bacterium. RNAcentral describes it as "bacterial SSU rRNA". It matches the Rfam family "Bacterial small subunit ribosomal RNA", at positions 30 to 477 of the family's 1533-position model. The record is from RNAcentral.